AAUGGAGAUGGACGGCAUUUACACUGUGCUGCAGAAUCCCUCGGAGGAUGUCUACUCCACAGUAAACCAACCCCAGGGCAGGAGAGCAGGAGCACAACAGGGGACCCCACCCCGCCUGUGAGUGCAGCUGGCAAAGCCUCUUCAUACAGACAGCCUGCACUGGUCCUCCUCAUCCUGUGCUGUCUCUUACUGGCUGCCAUCAUCUCCAUCGCUGUCUAUCAUUUCAAAACAUCAAUCUUGGAUAAAUACUGUCCUCUCAAAGUUCUUCAAAGGGUCAUUAAAAUAGGUGAAAUCACCCUUUAACCUGCUGAUCCCCAACACUCUGAACAGCCGAACCACGUCUGUGUGCCCUGCGCCUGUCAGUUUGUACAGCACCCUCCAUUCUGUGGUUUCUUUGUCCCCCAGGGACAGAUGAGCCCUCCAUUUAGACUCCACCAUCCCUCUCAGCUCACAGCAAUGGGCUAUCUUUAUACACAGUUUGUACAUUUCCCUACUACCGUAUUCUUUUGAAUUUAAGACAUAGCCCAGAUAUCCCACCUCCAAUUCAAGGAAAAAAAAUAAAUCUGCAUUUACAAACAUACACAUAUCAAUUACACAUAUGGAGGCAGUUUGCGGCCGUCUGCCAUCACACCGAGCACAACAGUUAUGCGCUGCUUCUCAUCUCCAGUCGUGAUUUUUCACACGUUUUUCUCCCAAUUUGUGAACUGAUAUUGCUUGGAAUGUCAAAAAAUACGGGGGUCUGAUCAGCAUUUCUGAUCUGUCCAAGCUGGUACUGUUUGUUAAAAAUGAAAUUUUAAAAGCUUCUCAUGGAAUUCCUCAGGAAGCUAAUGACGUGUCUUUGAAAAUGGCUGCCUGUAUGGAUGAUUCGAGACUGGGUAGCAGUGCCAUAGCCCCGGAACCUCUGGGCGUGCAGAGUCAUAGCCCCGGUACCUUAGUUAAGAAUCUCAUAAAAUGCUUUCUUUUUAAGUUCUCAACACAGUUGUAUCAGGUUUGCAAGUUUUUGUGUGUGCGCUAAAGAGAGACAGUCUGCUGCCACGUUUGUAGCCUGCUUUAAAUUACUUUAUGAUUUCAGCUUCAGUGCCUUUAAAUAAUAGAACAGACAGAAAAAAAAUGUUGGUGUGCAGCGAAUCAGAAAGAAGUGAAGUAUGGAGAGGUGGGGCUGAGGUCGAGCGCGAAAGUGUGUGAGGGUCUGACGUGGUUGUCUGAAAGAAAGAAAAAAAGGAGAUUAGAUAAAAAUAAAUAAAUCGGUCUGAUUUGUAGUAUAGCCCACCCGGUUAUAAAUUCUAAUUUAUGUUUUAUUUCCCUGUAUAUCGCCCUUGUUCCGAACCCCUUGCUUUAGUGUAUAUCAGGGGCGGCGCCACGCUUGGGCCUGAGGAGCCUCGUGGGCCCACCCAGUUAUGGAGCGAUUGACAAUUAAAAACAUUUAAUGCCAAAACGUAUCAGACUGUAAUCCGCUGCGACGAGUUUAGCUCAUCCUUGUGGUUCAAAAAAUAUAUCCGUCCCACCCACCUCAGCACCGUUGUCAUUUGUUAUGAAAAGAUUGGUGAUUGGACGGCUGAGAUAUGAGAUCUUACGUCUUCGAUAUUUUAUAGUAUCGAAAUUACAGAGGGUCGGCAGCAUACAUACAGGAACUUUUCUUUCAUUGCAAGGCAUGCAAGCAACCAGCUUGUGCAGCUGCUGUUUAGUUAUUUUUUACAUUUGCAAUUAGCUAUCUAAGUACCUACACAGGGCAGCAGUGUGGAGUAGUGGUUAGGGCUUUGGACUCCUGACUGGAAGGUCGUGGGUUCAAUCCCAGGUAGGGGGCACUGCUGUUGUACAUUUGAACAAGUAAAAACCCAACUGUAUAAAUCGGUAAUUGUAUGUAAAAAAUGUGAUAAUGUAAAUCUUGUAACAAUUGUAAGUCACCCUGGAUAAGGGUGUAUGCUAAGAAAUAUAAUACAGAAUGUUUAGCCAACUUUGCAGUAAACCAUAGCUAUAUUUGUGUCUUAUGCAUUAGCAAUGUCCCGACAAAUUUUGUAAAAAGAAAACGAACCGACGAAUCAACAAAUAUGCUAGUAAUGUAAGUACCUUCAUUUAAUUUUAUUUCGAUUUUACAAUUGUGUAUGUAGGCCUACUUAUAACCAGUUUACAGCUGGUUACACAAUAUUUUGUUUUGAAGUGUUUAUUUUAUUAUAGUUUUUCAUUUUUGAAGUCACGCUAUGCAGUAGGGUAAUGUGAAAAAAAGCUUUUUAUGUUAUUUUUGUAAAUAGUGACUUUGUUUUCACAAUUUUGUUAGUUUCUGUUUGCACUUUGUCAAAUGAAACAGUUUUUGCAGUUAUUGUGUGUUUGUUUCUGGAUGUUGUAUGCUUAUGUGUUUUGUAUUUGUACUGUAUACGUGCAACUACUGUUAUAAACUGCAAAACAUUUUCGCCUUGCUUCACUCGGCACCAUACAUUUUCAGUCUUGGCUACGUUGUGCUGCUCAAACCCCGGGGAGAUAUUUGAUGUAUUCAAAGUGUUUUUGUAACGUAAACGCUUUCCUGUGACGUCAAACCUUUGGUACUUGCCCGUCCACCCGAAGUUGGGGCCCACCCAAAUUUCUAUUCCUAGCUACGCCCCUGGUGUAUAUAGUAUUUAUUUUUGUUGUCACGUCGUCUGUGAAGAACCAACUGUAUCGGUUAGCGCUCGAGGCGACCAGCAAAGUGAUAGCACCCCGGUUAGAGGAAGAAAAAAGAAAACUGCCGAGAUCCCUCUAUUCCAUCCUGCAUCUCUUCUGGACGGACUGUGCCUUUGAAUACACCUGAGACGGCUGCUAGUGAGUACAGAAGGAUUUUUUUUUUACUGGGAAGGAGGUAGUGGUCAGUAAACUGCCUGAUGGGAAUUUUCUUUUGUUUUGUUUUUUUUUACCCCACUACGCACCCAAGCACUGCUCGGGGCCCAACGUUUAUUUAUUUAUUGGUUCUUAAUGUGUUGUGUUAUUUAGUUAUCUGUCUACCCGGGUGUUAGUUAAUUUAUCUCCCCUACGGAGAUUAGUACUACUGGCCAGUGGUAUAGUUUAAAAUUGCAUGUUACCGUGUAGUUAUUUCAUUGUCUGUAUUCUAUACGUACUACUGUUAUUUUAUAAUAGGGGCUUCCUAUCAACCACGUCGUUAUUUCAGUGACAUAUAAUUGUAUUAUAAUUAUUAUAUAUUAAUAAUAUUAUCCCUGCAUUAUCUAUGCUGUACUUUAGUCCUGCAGUUGUAUGUGUCUCUACUGUUUACUUGGCCACCAAGUAACUCCAUUUGUGUGACAUGGCACUUACAAGUAUUAUAAUAAUGAGUUACAUUAUUUGAUUUUUAUUUAAAACCCCUAAACCUAUAGUAAACACGUUUGGUUUACUAAAAUGUGAUAUGUGUGGUCUCUUUAUUA
This is a long non-coding RNA of Acipenser ruthenus (sterlet), 3386 nucleotides long. RefSeq lists it as uncharacterized. The transcript has 4 exons. NCBI's taxonomy places the organism in Eukaryota, Metazoa, Chordata, Actinopteri, Acipenseriformes, Acipenseridae. The record is from RefSeq and is a predicted model, not a curated record.